GGUCCUGAAACUGCAGCUCUCCGGGGCCUCCGGGGUCUCCGGCUCUGCAGGUUCAUACUAUUGUCCGGCUCUGCAGGUUUAUACCAUUGCCUCUGCUGACACUGACCACCCCCAUACACUCCCGAACAGUAAGUGGCGGUAAUGCACCUCAUACGGUUGCAGUCUGCAUGUAAGCAACAGGAGAAGAAGAGGAAGUCGUUCAGCAGGCAGAAUAUUUGAGCUAAGCAGAUACUAUAACGAAUAUGGGUUCUAAAAACAAGAAGCGAGGAGUGCUUCCAAGUCGACCCGAUCAGCCGACUGUGGAGCAAAUGAUUGAUGACGUUAAUAAAGCCUAUCCAAAUGAUCCAAUAUUCAGUGUCCUGAAGGAUAGCAAACAAGAUGCCAGUGAGUCACCAGACAAUGACAUGGAGUCCAUGUACCUUCAGAGUCGGAGAUACUUGGAGCUUAAUGAGCAACUGCACGAGGCCAAGGGUAAACUUGUAAGGCAGAGAGAAGAUCUACAAACAGCUGGAAAGCAGUUGGAACUCAAUGUUGUUCAAGUGAAAGGCAGAGCACUCUGACCAAAGAUUUCAUAUGCACAACACAGUCAUCCUCAGCACCAAUGAAUCUUGAACACCAGUCAUGUCAUCAACCAGUUAUGUCAUUAUUUGGGUUCCCAAAUCGUUUUUAUCAACUGUCUGAGAAAGCAUGUCAAAUAUGUCAUGUAUCAUGAAAUUUAAUUAAUAUAAAACUGUACUCGACACAACUAAUUUCAUAAAAUACCAUUCACUUUUCAUUUGAUGAGAACAUUUAUUAUGACAAACUCCUUGACCUACAUCACAUUGUAUCACAUCACCUGCCUCUAUUUUAUGGCAUUAGAUGUCUACUCAUGCAAAUAUUUCCUGGGAUUAUGCUCUUUGAUUUCAUUAUUUAAAUUUGAUUGAUAAUGUAUACAUUUAUGCCAACAGAAGCAGUAUAUCAUUGUCAAAAUAUCUACUUGGAAUCAUUAAAGCAUUCAAGUUGGAAAAUUCAACAGUAACUACUGUGCUUACAUUUUGUUUCAAGUCAGUUGUAAAUCGUUGUUCUGACUGAAGUUGUUUGAAACCAAAAUUCCAUCACAGACAAUUGGGUUAACUUUCACUAAUUAAGAACAAUAAAUACAUGAAUAAGUACAUGAACUUGAACAAUAAAGUUUACAAGUCUGUUGGCAGUGGCUGUAAAUAAUGUAGACCUACUAUUAAUUGCUGGACUGACCCAUCAUGUGAAACAGAAUGUGAGCUCACAAGAUGGCUAGUUUACCAUGCUGGAUUCUGGGGAUCUUGCAAAGCAAAUUUAACAUCCAUUUUUAUUUAUAGCCAUUAGGGCCAUCACAAAACAUUGCCAAAAUGGUACACCCUAUUUUCUGACAAUUUGUAUUCAUUCACUCAUUUGUCAGAGGGACUGUUGAAGGCUUAUGUAUGUUAACUGAAGGUAUUUCAUAGGCAGAGGCAGAUAUUCUGCCUCUAAACUGUGGAGAUUCACUUCCAGAAACCCCCAAAAUACAGUACUUUUGAGUUUUCUUUGUCAUGUUGUUUUAGUCAACCUCUCACAUGGAUAAGUCCUGUUUCAGCUACACAUACUGUAUAUAUAUAUGUAUAUAUAUAUAUAUAUAUAUACAUAUAUAUAUAUACAUUUUCUAAGGGCUUCAUGUUUGAGAUCUUUGAUGUAACAACACUAACACCAAUACAAUUAAGUAGAUAGUAACACAUUUGUACAUUUACAUGUGUGUAAACAUUUGUAGACACUAAUACCUUUUUCUUUCUUAAAAACUAAUAACCCUUACAUACUCUUUUUCAGAUUGAAAGCAUAUGAUUCCAGUAGCAAACACAAAUAUGUCAUUGCUUUUAAAAUAGUGGAAACAUGUACAGCAAAUACGUUUACAUAGUUAUAUAUGUUGCCUUACAAAGUUCAGAGAAAUGUAUUUGCUAUAAUUUUGUUAACUUUUAAUUUAAAUACCACAAAGGAGAAUGUUAUUUGUCCCGCACUUACAGUUUUAGCAAUUGUAUUCAAAUUCUGGAUAUUAGCUAAGCAUGCAGAAUUAGCAACACAGUCAUUUUCCAUACUGGAAACCUUGUAGGUUGAUGAUAGCAAAUAUUUACAAGACAGAAUAGCCUACAGAAAACACAGCAUUUCAACAAUGCUAAUAAGACAUUAACUGUAGUAUUUCCAAUUAUAAUGCCUGUGGUUGUUAAACAUUAAUGGCUAAUAGUGUUUCAUCUUCAGUAGCAAGUGAUGUUGUAGGUGAAGCACAAAAGGAGAAGCGAGAAAAAUGUAGAUAAGAAACUUUGCAUUUCCAUUUUGUGUUUUACAAAUCUAUACAGAUAAUAUUUUGAAUGUCAACAGUUAACCACAGUGCAUUGUCAAAUAAAACACAAUUGCUUUUUUAUUCAUUGA
RNA transcript from Hypomesus transpacificus, 2412 nucleotides. It is a transcript of the gene named chromosome 26 C19orf25 homolog, with no coding region annotated. Lineage: Eukaryota; Metazoa; Chordata; Actinopteri; Osmeriformes; Osmeridae. The transcript has 3 exons. The record is from RefSeq and is a predicted model, not a curated record.